UUAAUUUUUGCAAUCAGUGGAAUUGAUCCUUAAACUCUAGUUUUAGAUAUAGUCUUGUGGUUUUUAUUACGCGCAUCGGCAUUAUAGGGCUUGCCUGAGCAUCAAUUGCCGUGCUAUUCGAAGGAGUAGGUUUUCCUUGCUUUUGCGAAGAACCGUGGAGUUCAAUGAAAUCAUGGUCGACCUCAAGGUGGAUUUUGAUAAAGAGUCGUGCUCCAGGUCAAUAAACGAGACGGUGAAUGGGUCGCACCAGUUUACGAUAAAGGGGUACUCGUUGGCUAAAGGGAUGGGAGCUGGGAAGUGCAUAUCGAGUGAUAUUUU
RNAcentral lists this unclassified non-coding RNA (318 nucleotides) under Hevea brasiliensis (rubber tree). Lineage: Eukaryota; Viridiplantae; Streptophyta; Magnoliopsida; Malpighiales; Euphorbiaceae. The record is from RNAcentral.